Molecule: long non-coding RNA, 635 nt
Filed under: Mytilus galloprovincialis (Mediterranean mussel)
Lineage: Eukaryota; Metazoa; Mollusca; Bivalvia; Mytilida; Mytilidae
Source: RNAcentral
AAUGCAAUUUCGUUCAUCCAGCUUUAUAUUGUAUAAAUAAGGUACCAAGGUCGAAGAAAGAAUAUUUAUUUCAAAUGGUGAUAAUUUCAUUUUGACAUAUUAUGAAUGAAAUAAGUUUCUUUUUUGUUCAUAGCAUCCGAUUUUUUUUUUUUAUAGAUUCUUGUUUAUCACAGUUUGACCUCCAAAAGAGUGUCUCAUAUUGUGCCUUUUGUAUGUCAUUCUCUCAUAAACCGUCAAUGAAGUUCGCAACCUCAAUUAAAAAAAAACAACUUAAUUUUAUUGGGUAUACACUUUAUUCUAUUGAUGUUUUUUUUAAGAUACAUUGGUCAAGUGUGAACAUCAAGCAUAUAGGGGCACCCGUCUGGGAGCUAAAUUUAUUUAGAACUACAUUUUCAUGACAAAAUGAAUGUGUCCCAAUUGAAUAAAUAAGUAUUUACCAUGUGGAUACUUCAGGAUUAGCAUUUAAUCAUUAAUCACUUAGGUGUUGACCAGUAAGAAACAUUCUAUUUCGGCAAAAUAAAUAAAGAAAAUGCCCCUCUAUGCAUUAAAAAUCAGAUUUGUCGGAAAAUGUUAAAUCGUUAUUGACCUUGCUGUAUGUCACAACUCCGCCGACCAUGAUACUAUUAAGGAUAUCA